GUUUUUAUAGCUUAUAAUAGUUAGAGCAUCUCAGUGAAGUUGAGAAGGAAAUAACAUAUUUAAAGACA
Molecule: transfer RNA, 68 nt
Filed under: Yanocephalus yanonis
Lineage: Eukaryota; Metazoa; Arthropoda; Insecta; Hemiptera; Cicadellidae
Description: tRNA-Phe
Source: RNAcentral